AGAACGAACGCUGGCGGCAGGCUUAACACAUGCAAGUCGAACGGUUGUAGCAAUACAGCAGUGGCAGACGGGUGAGUAACACGUGGGAACCUUCCUAGGGGUACGGAACAACUCAGGGAAACUUGAGCUAAAUACCGUAUACGUCCGUGAGGAGAAAGUUUUAACGCCCCUAGACGGGCCCGCGUAGGAUUAGGUAGUUGGUGAGGUAACGGCUCACCAAGCCUACGAUCCUUAGCUGAUCUGAGAGGAUGAUCAGCCACACUGGGACUGAGACACGGCCCAGACUCCUACGGGAGGCAGCAGUGGGGAAUCUUGGACAAUGGGCGCAAGCCUGAUCCAGCCAUGCCGCGUGAGUGAAGAAGGCCUUCGGGUUGUAAAGCUCUUUUACCAGGGACGAUAAGUGACGGUACCUGGAGAAUAAGCCACGGCUAACUACGUGCCAGCAGCCGC
This 450-nucleotide ribosomal RNA is filed under the name uncultured bacterium. RNAcentral's name for it is "SSU rRNA". It matches the Rfam family "Bacterial small subunit ribosomal RNA", at positions 26 to 518 of the family's 1533-position model. The record is from RNAcentral.